GCGGGCGUAGUUCAAUGGCAGAACACCAGCCUUCCAAGCUGGAUACGUGGGUUCGAUUCCCAUCGCCCGCUCCA
Molecule: transfer RNA, 74 nt
Filed under: Oscillospiraceae bacterium
Lineage: Bacteria; Bacillati; Bacillota; Clostridia; Eubacteriales; Oscillospiraceae
Also listed under: 1 other name
Description: tRNA-Gly
Rfam family: tRNA
About the family: Transfer RNA (tRNA) molecules are approximately 80 nucleotides in length. Their secondary structure includes four short double-helical elements and three loops (D, anti-codon, and T loops).
Source: RNAcentral